UGCUACAGCUUGAGAGGCACAGGACCAGAGUGUGCUCCAUAGUAUGGGAGCCUGUCUCCAUGGAGCCCCCUGGAGUAUAAAGUCCGUCGUACUAAAAAUUAAAAAUGGAAGAUAUAACACACUCAGGACUCUCCUUUUGGUUCUGGUACGACAAGCAGGACUGACUGCAUGCCCAGAAACAUGACUGAAAGCUUGUCUUCUAAGUAAUUCCAGGAUCCACCAACUUGACAACACUUCAAUCAUUGCAAGAGUCUACAAUCAUUUCAUCUCAAGGAGCUGGAGAGAUGGAUCAGUGGUUAAGAACAGCUCACAACUGACUCCACCUGUAGCCCCAGAAGAUCUUGUGUUCUCUUUUGGAUUCUGAGGACAUCUGCACUCAUACAGUCCCAUGCCCAAACACAAACACAUAAUCAAAAAUAAAUAAAAAAACUAAAUCUGUAACUAAAAUUUCAUUUCAGUUUAUAUGCUACAGUAAAAUAGUACAAUUAAAUGUUGAUUUCUUG
Molecule: long non-coding RNA, 503 nt
Organism: Mastomys coucha (southern multimammate mouse)
Lineage: Eukaryota; Metazoa; Chordata; Mammalia; Rodentia; Muridae
Exons: 2
Source: RefSeq, a predicted model, not a curated record